RNAcentral lists this transfer RNA (68 nucleotides) under Anguilla anguilla (European eel). RNAcentral's name for it is "tRNA-OTHER". The record is from RNAcentral. Lineage: Eukaryota; Metazoa; Chordata; Actinopteri; Anguilliformes; Anguillidae.
GCGUAGCAUAAUGGCUAAGGAGUUGGUCUUGUAACCUAAAGGUCGCAGGUUCGAUUCCCUGCUAGGCC